This 381-nucleotide ribosomal RNA is filed under the name Serratia sp. AF-5A. RNAcentral's name for it is "bacterial SSU rRNA". It matches the Rfam family "Bacterial small subunit ribosomal RNA", at positions 150 to 526 of the family's 1533-position model. The record is from RNAcentral. Lineage: Bacteria; Pseudomonadati; Pseudomonadota; Gammaproteobacteria; Enterobacterales; Yersiniaceae.
CUGGAAACGGUAGCUAAUACCGCAUAACGUCGCAAGACCAAAGAGGGGGACCUUCGGGCCUCUUGCCAUCAGAUGUGCCCAGAUGGGAUUAGCUAGUAGGUGGGGUAAUGGCUCACCUAGGCGACGAUCCCUAGCUGGUCUGAGAGGAUGACCAGCCACACUGGAACUGAGACACGGUCCAGACUCCUACGGGAGGCAGCAGUGGGGAAUAUUGCACAAUGGGCGCAAGCCUGAUGCAGCCAUGCCGCGUGUGUGAAGAAGGCCUUCGGGUUGUAAAGCACUUUCAGCGAGGAGGAAGGUGGUGAGCUUAAUACGCUCAUCAAUUGACGUUACUCGCAGAAGAAGCACCGGCUAACUCCGUGCCAGCAGCCGCGGUAAUAC